UACGUGCGUAUGUCCUUUUUGUUGUUUCGCGAGCAUCUCAAUUCCUUGGCACCCUCGCCCUGCUGCGCUGCCGCUGCCCCACCCCGCCGCCCUUGUCCAUCGGCCCCCCUCUCUGCACGCCUCUCUUCUCCGCCAGCAUAUCUUCCCCUGCUGGUUUUGCUUGUCACAAUGCGCCAAAGGAUCGCUUCCUCUGUACCCCCUUCGCCGUCACUGAAGCCGUGUUUCAAACCGCAAAUUAUUUACUCCAAUGAGACGUCUGAGCGCGUGGGGCGCGCCAUAAAUGCCACCAUGGGCGCCGUCAACACUAACCUGCACAACGCCUCCAGUCGACUUGCGUCUGCGGCUGCCACACUGGCAUCCAACACGUCCGCGCAGCCGUUGCCCAUCGCGGGGUCGUCAAGUCGCCGUUGUAUCAUGGAGGACAGCUUCACCACCGCGCGGACGACCACAAACGCUGUGCUAAACGAUAACUUUACCAAGACUACUGGGUCGCUCUCGGGGCACGCGUCGAAUCUGUCGCUGGUGCAUUUGCUUGCCUGGUUUCUGCUUUUCGUCACCAUAACGGUGACGACGGUGGCCUUCCUCAACUACUGCCUGCGCAGCAAGCACGGCUCCGCUUAUUCCACCGAGACGGGCUAUGGUGACGAGGAGAUGUGCGGCAAGGGCGCUGUACCGUUCUCGAUUUCUACUCAGAGCGUUCAUGCAGAGGGCCUAAGUGGGACGCCAUCGUCGUCGAGCCGCCUGCUCGCCUCCCGCGGCAACCUCGCCCGGCAGCAGUUUUUGGGGUCGCGCAAGACGGGCAGCAAUCCAAAGUGCUACGGCGCUACAGCCUCCACAUCUCCCGCCAAUUGACGGUGUCUUGUAUGGGCCGGGUUAGGCGCUCAUGUGUGUGCGUGUCAGCUGACAAAUAAGGCUCUCGUUGUUUGGUGGUUGCGUACCUCAUGCUUAUUGAUAGGUGAUGCGUUCCUGUUCCGAUCCCUCAUUCUUUGCCCGUGAUACGGUUACCGAUUCUUUUUCUUUUUUUUUGCUCGUCCUCGCUUCCUCAUUCGAUAUGGCCGGCACGCCUUGGUGGGUUCCCUUGUGCUUCCCUGUGGGAGAGCCCGUGUGCGGAUAUGUGCGUCUGUGUCGCGCUUCUCUGUACGACAGAGGACGUGAGUGCGUGCGAGUAAACGUAACCUUGACUCGAGAGAAGCCUUAUCGAGGGCUGUGGAUGGGACACCUCAGAGAACAGAAAAGGGGGUAGGAACGUUUGUGGGACAUUUUCGUCUGUUUGUAACCGUGUUGGCACACAUUUAGGGCGCACAUGUCACCCACUUUCUCUCUCGGUGUGGCUGCCGUCCGUCUUCACCAUCACUUGGCUACGUUUGUCCAGUGCAGGUGUCGCAGUAGCUGUCACGACAGCACAGGUAAGGAAGGGCCGAGAGUACGGCCACCGCUGCGCCGACGGAAGAUCGAAGACAGAGAGGAGCAUGGAAAAAGAGAACGAGGAAGGGAUCUCCUACCCAGAACAGGAAGAUUUGAGGAGCAGUAUCCGCGCAGCGUCUCUGCUCUCUCUCUCUCUGUAUGUGUUUUCCUGUACACCCCAUCCCCUGCUCUUCUUCUUUUUUGCCCAAACGCAG
RNAcentral lists this unclassified non-coding RNA (1619 nucleotides) under Leishmania donovani. RNAcentral's name for it is "gene:LdHU3.28.0610(CDS-product:hypothetical_prote in_conserved)". Lineage: Eukaryota; Euglenozoa; Kinetoplastea; Trypanosomatida; Trypanosomatidae. The record is from RNAcentral.